CCAACUCAUCUCCCUCAAUCAUCACUUCACUAUCUUCAGAGACACCUUCAUAACUCUAGCGCCGCCCUAGUGUUCUUCGGUGGCGGCGCCGUAUCUAAACCUUUAUAUGAGGUAUUUUUUCUUUUCUUUUGCAUAUAUUUUCUUCAUUUUUCUUCUCAUUGUCUUCUCCUCUUCCUGAUUCUUUUCUUAUACUAUUUUCUAGCCAUUUUAUUAUGCAAGUUAGUUUUAAAUCUUUUUCUUUAAUUAGUACAUUUAGUCAGUUAAUUAGUUUAGUUUCGAUUUGUUAAUUUAGUUAAUUCUAGUUUAUUAGUUAGUCAGUAAAUUAGGUAGAUGUUGGUUUUGAAAUUAUCUGAAUUGCCUUGUUUUUGCUUUUUCAUUAAACAAUCGAUUUCUGAUUUUUGUUUGGGCCCUGGGUUCCAUUUGUACCCAUUUUUAAAGUGCAGCCCAUUCAAUUUGGUUUAUGUUAUUGGGUUAAUUUGACCCAUAAGUUUUUAGAAGUAAUUUUUAGGGUCUGAAUGAGUUGUCUAUUGAUUUUAGUUUAGGGAAUCUUCAGUAACUAAUUUAGGAAGCUUCCAAGCUAUCUUUGGGACUAAAUUGAAAAACGGAUUUUCAAGCUAUGGAUUGAACAACAAAAAUGAAACGUUCAAAAGGAUUUAAUGUGCAAAACUGAAAUCAUUUUUUGCUGCCCUAAGGCUUGCCUAUAAAGACAUUCUUUCUUCACUCGCAAGUCAGAAUUUAGAGAAUAAAAAAAUCCUAAUAAACUAAAAUUGCUAUGUAUUUGUAAAACUUUGGAAAGAAUACUGAAAAAUUCUUCCAUUUCCUUAGUAUAAGCUGGUUAAAUUCUACCCUAGAACUGAUUAGAUAAUCAGAGUCUUGAGACUCAAAAAGUUGAUUGUUCAUCUGGGGUUUUUACUGGUUGGGAGAAGGCUGAAUCUGUUUGGUAUUGCUGGGUUUGUACAACCUAAUUUUGCUCCAGUGUCUACUGAUUCUUCACUUCUUUUGUUUCCUUUUUGACUUCUAGGUAUCACUAUGCACUUUGAUUAAUCUAUGAAGUGUGAAUAUGCAAUGGAAAAUGGACAUAUAAUGGAAGAUUCGUGUUACUAGACUUUUGAUCCUCUAUCGUUUCUUUCAUUCAUGUGUUGUAUUAGUUUAACUCUGUGAGAGUCCUAUUAGUUAUUUAUGUAGUGUAAGGUGUGUAUAGUUGAUCUUUUGUUUGAUUAUGUUGAAAUUUCCGAUUGCUGAACUCUAGAAUAGUUAACAUGCCAAGUUUUUUGUUCAUUGCUUGUAUUGAAGUUUUGAUUUAAGGCUUAAAGCUCAUCAUGGUUUUUUAUAAUUUGGUAUGGAAGUUUGAUUCAAAUAAAGACACUGGAUAACGCUACCUGCUUUUGAAUUCAUAAAAAAUAAAUUUUCCUAGGCAUGUGAUUUGGUCAUAUAGCCUUUAAAGUCUAUUGUUCAUGUUAUAUUUAUCAUGCCUCGUGUUUAGUCAGUGGGGUUCAAGUGGUCUCUUCAAAAGUUGUAAGUGUUCAAAUAAAUGGUGUCUUGAAUUUUCUGCAUUUUAUAUUUCAAUUAGCCCGUGAUUGUUUCUUGCUUACAUUACUGAAUGCCAUUUAAGUUUGGAUCCAAGAAUGUUUGUUUAGAGCCCAAAGUUUCUAGAGCCCAAAUUGGUUUGGCUACGCAGAAAUU
RNAcentral lists this long non-coding RNA (1683 nucleotides) under Nicotiana benthamiana. RNAcentral's name for it is "long non-coding RNA (NBEN_LNC003579)". Lineage: Eukaryota; Viridiplantae; Streptophyta; Magnoliopsida; Solanales; Solanaceae. The record is from RNAcentral.